UUGUAACUGUGCGAUUCAGUCCUGCACACGCCUGGACUUGAACCCGCGAAACAGACGCACCUUAGAACGGGAGUCGAGCGUGCUGAUAAUUGAGCUAAAAGCCCGGGCUAUAAGCUUUCGUGUCAGCAGCACUAUUGAGUCUGUUGGCUCUCCUUCUUCAACAACCCACAACGGCGCCCCCCGUGUCGCGCAACUUUAAUGCUUUGAAUUCAAUUUCGAAGCAGUCACGUGGGUGUGUGUGAAACGAAGCUUUGGACGUCACUGAUCACGUGAUUAUCACAAAACGAAUCAAGCUCCGAUACAAAGCUUCACUCCAAAUUGGUUCAUGUCUUCGAUACACGCUUCGAAGCAGGAGGUUCACGGGUAACAUCACUAGCAACUACGACUGGUCGAAUUGGCACUCAGUUUAGCGUGGAUGCAAGACUCGGCUGUCCGGGCUUGCUGAUUGUGGGUGAUCUGUCUCGUUACGCCUGCAUGUCCGUGUGCUUUGAGGGGGGGGGGGGGGAUUUGUGUCUUGGCAUCUUGAUCAUUUUAUUGUUUGUUUUGUUUGUGAUCAACUGUGUUCGUCUCGUAGAUACAAUUUUAAGCUGCAUCAGCAUCACCCUUAGUGGCUGUAUAUCGCCACAGCUGGAGAUUGGUCGGGCCCACUGGUGGUUGGGUACUCUUUGCUCCUCCUUAUUGGUCACCUGCAUGCUUAGUGUGUUUCCUUAUAGCGUGUUUGUGUACACUCUUAACUGCGUGUUUGCACCACCCUUUGCUGUGAGUGGCUAUCAGUGUGUGCGUGUGUGUGACUAUUUUUGCACAGGUAAAUUGGUGUCUCUUCUGGGUGCUUUCCCUCCCUCCAGUGGCCCACCUGACACACUUUCCCAGCUGGUACAGUAUUUCCUGCCCCUUUUUUACACAAGAUACAUACAUAUUUAUAUCUGACUGUAGACUGUUGUGAUUGUACUUGAUUGUAAACUGCCUAUUUGGUGAACUCAAUUUAGUGACAAAUCUAAUAAAAUACAUAUAUAUUAUACUAACUAUUUCCCUUCCAGCAGUUGAUUUGUUUCCAAAAACAUCAAUAAAAGUUUGCAUGAACUUGA
This is a long non-coding RNA of Alosa sapidissima (American shad), 1085 nucleotides long. RefSeq lists it as uncharacterized. The transcript has 2 exons. Lineage: Eukaryota; Metazoa; Chordata; Actinopteri; Clupeiformes; Clupeidae. The record is from RefSeq and is a predicted model, not a curated record.